GCGCUCGGAAUUCGUUUGCAAAGACGUUAGCAACCACCCCACAGCGACAUUUCCAGGACCCCGUCCCUAAGAACCAACUGUAUCGCACAGUCUUCGAGAAUGCCGAGCCGUGGACCCCAGAAGUGUCUUCCGCUUCCCGGAGACCCUCUUCCGUUGCCCCGCACCCACUUCCGCCUUCCGAUUGCCGCACCGGCCCGGGCCUGGCUCCGCCCCCUCCGGCCCUUCGGCUCGCGCGUGCCCUCUCCCGGGCCGGAAGCUCCGCCCCUUACGUGACGACCCCCUGCUCUCUCGGGUUUACACCGAGGAAUCUUUCCCUGUUCUGCUGUGAACCCGGGAAGAGAGGAAGGGUAGCCGGUAGUGUUUGUUUCUAAAUAAACCCUUUUUCAGUAUCAGCGUUAUCGAGGGGAGGAUGGGUAUUUUGUGAUUUUUCUAAGUGCAGUAUUCCGUAUAUGUCCUGAAUUUGAUGUGAUCUUUAUAAAGCCCAGGGAGCUAAAAAUUCUGGGCCAGUAUGAAUUUUGUGUGACUAAAAGCUCUGAAGACAGCUGAAAAGAAAGGUGGUUUGCAUCAGGAUUGGAAUCUUCUUGACGAGGGAACUGAGAUUAGAUUUUUGGGGAGCUGCUGUCAACCGUGAAUACAACUGGCCCUGAGGCCACCGUGAUGUGAGCAGCAAGCAGUCCACCAUACCAUCAAGCUGUGAAGUUUAUGCCUUGGACCCAACCAACCUGAGCAUGAAAACUAUGAAACUACGAGCCACAAGCCUUCAUCCUUUAUGGUGUUCGUGCCAAGUAUUUUGUUCCAGCAGCAGAAAGGGACUAAUAGAAUAUGUCCUGCCAAGAUGCUGGCAUCACCCAGUCUGCUGAGAAUCUGAAGAGAACAAAAAAGACGGAUCAGCCCCGCCCCUGUGCUUUCUGCCCACUGCCUGGACUAGAACACAUCUUUAAGAAACCUGUAAGAAAUGUUUGCGUGUUUACAGACCCUUCUUUCCCUUUCUGUGAGCCUUGUAUGUUCUUUUCCAAUUUCCUAAUUUUUUUAAAUUGACUUGAAAAAUAUUUUGUACUGGAAAAAGUAAAACGUUUAUCAAUUACAGUCAAUCACUAGCUAUUGUAACUAGCUCAAGUGAGCUAGGAGAGAGAGAUAUGGCUGAACUGUCUGUGUCAGAGCAGCUCAUUAAAGCAAUCAGCCAAAAAUUUGAG
Fukomys damarensis (Damara mole-rat) is the source of this 1193-nucleotide long non-coding RNA. RefSeq lists it as uncharacterized. Lineage: Eukaryota; Metazoa; Chordata; Mammalia; Rodentia; Bathyergidae. The transcript has 3 exons. The record is from RefSeq and is a predicted model, not a curated record.